GGGAAGCAGCCCAGAUCUUCUAAUGGAGCUAGCAAGCACCUGAGGAACUGAGGCCCAGAGGGGACAGGGAUGAAACUCCUGCAUUCAGCCAUUGAAAGUUCUCAAACUCUUCCGGUGUUGAGCAGUGGCAGCAGCUGCUGCAGGAACCAGGAAGGAAGGAGAUCCAAGCUCCGGGCAGCCGCUCAGCUCUGCCCCCCUGCUCCCCGGAGGACUC
RNAcentral lists this long non-coding RNA (214 nucleotides) under Homo sapiens (human). RNAcentral describes it as "HSALNT0241765". Lineage: Eukaryota; Metazoa; Chordata; Mammalia; Primates; Hominidae. The record is from RNAcentral.